CCUACGGGAGGCAGCAGUUGGGAAUAUUGCACAAUGGGGGAAACCCUGAUGCAGCGACGCCGCGUGAGUGAAGAAGUAUCUCGGUACGUAAAGCUCUAUCAGCAGGGAAGAUAAUGACGGUACCUGACCAAGAAGCCCCGGCUAACUACGUGCCAGCAGCCGCGGUAAUACGUAGGGGGCAAGCGUUAUCCGGAUUUACUGGGUGUAAAGGGAGCGUAGACGGCAGCACAAGUCAGAUGUGAAAUCCGGGGGCUCAACCCCCGAACUGCAUUUGAAACUGUUGGUCUUGAGUAUCGGAGAGGCAGGCGGAAUUCCUAGUGUAGCGGUGAAAUGCGUAGAUAUUAGGAGGAACACCAGUGGCGAAGGCGGCCUGCUGGACGACAACUGACGGUGAGGCGCGAAAGCGUGGGGAGCAAACAGGAUUAGAUACCCUUGUAGUC
RNAcentral lists this ribosomal RNA (440 nucleotides) under uncultured bacterium. RNAcentral's name for it is "partial 16S ribosomal RNA". It matches the Rfam family "Bacterial small subunit ribosomal RNA", at positions 338 to 795 of the family's 1533-position model. The record is from RNAcentral.